AUUGAACGCUGGCGGCGUGCCUAACACAUGCAAGUCGAGCGGAAGAGUGGAGCUUGCUCCAUGAUUCAGCGGCGCACGGGUGAGUAACACGUGGAUGAUCUACCCAUCAGUAUGGGAUAACAGUUGGAAACGACUGCUAAUACCGUAUACGAUCUUUUUUCGCGAUUAGGUGAAAGGGGGCCUCUGCAUAUGCUCCCGCUGAUGGAUGAGUCCGCGCCUCAUUAGGUAGUUGGUAGGGUAACGGCCUACCAAGCCGACGAUGAGUAGCCGGCCUGAGAGGGUAAUCGGCCACACUGGGACUGGAACACGGCCCAGACUCCUACGGGAGGCAGCAGUGGGGAAUAUUGCGCAAUGGGCGAAAGCCUGACGCAGCGACGCCGCGUGAGGGAUGAAGGCCUUCGGGUCGUAAACCUCUGUCAGGAGGGAAGAACGGUCAGCGUGCUAAUCAGCGCUGAAUUGACGGUACCUCCAAAGGAAGCACCGGCUAACUCCGUGCCAGCAGCCGCAGUAAAAC
This 514-nucleotide ribosomal RNA is filed under the name uncultured bacterium. RNAcentral's name for it is "bacterial SSU rRNA". It matches the Rfam family "Bacterial small subunit ribosomal RNA", at positions 30 to 526 of the family's 1533-position model. The record is from RNAcentral.